AGAGUUUGAUCCUGGCUCAGGAUGAACGCUGGCGGCGUGCUUAACACAUGCAAGUCGAACGAUCCUUCGGGAUAGUGGCGGACGGGUGAGUAACGCGUGGGAAUCUGCCCUCAGGAGGGGGAUAACGGCUGGAAACGGCCGCUAAUACCCCAUAUGCCGAGAGGUGAAACGAAUUUCGCCUGAGGAUGAGCCCGCGUCUGAUUAGCUAGUUGGUGGGGUAAAGGCCCACCAAGGCGACGAUCAGUAGCUGGUCUGAGAGGAUGAUCAGCCACACUGGGACUGAGACACGGCCCAGACUCCUACGGGAGGCAGCAGUGGGGAAUUUUCCACAAUGGGCGAAAGCCUGACGGAGCAACGCCGCGUGAGGGAUGAAGGCCUCUGGGCUGUAAACCUCCUUUCUCAAGGAAGAAGACCUGACGGUACUUGAGGAAUAAGCCACGGCUAAUUCCGUGCCAGCAGCCGCGGUAAUACGGGAGUGGCAAGCGUUAUCCGGAAUUAUUGGGCGUAAAGCGUCCGCAGGCGGCCUUGUAAGUCUGUUGUUAAAGCGUGGAGCUUAACUCCAUUUAAGCAAUGGAAACUACAAGGCUGGAGUGUGGUAGGGGCAGAGGGAAUUCCCGGUGUAGCGGUGAAAUGCGUAGAUAUCGGGAAGAACACCAGUGGCGAAGGCGCUCUGCUGGGCCAUAACUGACGCUCAUGGACGAAAGCCAGGGGAGCGAAAGGGAUUAGAUACCCCUGUAGUCCUGGCCGUAAACGAUGAACACUAGGUGUCGGGGGAAUCGACCCCCUCGGUGUCGUAGCCAACGCGUUAAGUGUUCCGCCUGGGGAGUACGCACGCAAGUGUGAAACUCAAAGGAAUUGACGGGGGCCCGCACAAGCGGUGGAGUAUGUGGUUUAAUUCGAUGCAACGCGAAGAACCUUACCAGGGUUUGACAUCCUGCGAACCCCUGAGAAAUCGGGGGGUGCCUUCGGGAGCGCAGAGACAGGUGGUGCAUGGCUGUCGUCAGCUCGUGUCGUGAGAUGUUGGGUUAAGUCCCGCAACGAGCGCAACCCACGUCUUUAGUUGCCAGCUUUCAGUUGGGCACUCUAGAGAGACCGCCGGUGAUAAACCGGAGGAAGGUGUGGAUGACGUCAAGUCGUCAUGCCCCUUACAUCCUGGGCUACACACGUACUACAAUGCUACGGACAAAGGGCAGCAAGCUCGCGAGAGUUAGCAAAUCCCAUAAACCGUGGCUCAGUUCAGAUCGUAGGCUGCAACUCGCCUACGUGAAGGAGGAAUCGCUAGUAAUCGCAGGUCAGCAUACUGCGGUGAAUACGUUCCCGGGCCUUGUACACACCGCCCGUCACACCAUGGAAGUUGGCCAUGCCCGAAGUCG
RNAcentral lists this ribosomal RNA (1373 nucleotides) under metagenome. RNAcentral describes it as "bacterial SSU rRNA". It matches the Rfam family "Bacterial small subunit ribosomal RNA". The record is from RNAcentral.